Acephala macrosclerotiorum is the source of this 72-nucleotide non-coding RNA. The record is from the annotation of a GenBank genome assembly. Lineage: Eukaryota; Fungi; Ascomycota; Leotiomycetes; Helotiales; Mollisiaceae.
GACCUCUUGGUGCAGUGGUAGCAUAGUCGGUGUAAACACCCCCAGACCUAGGUUCGAUUCCUAGAGAGGUUC